UUACAGAAAAAGAAAAGCUGAAACCUUUCAAAACCUCCCCAACGAUCGGCCUCCCACCACCAUUUGCACAUCCGCCGCACCGCCACCAGAUCGACGGCCAACGAAGCGCGAUAACGGGUUUUUAAAGCCCCCUGGUGAGUUUCUCUUUUUCUCUUUUUAUUUUCGUUUUAAGAAAUAAAAAUAAAAAUAAGCAAAACGAUAAGAAAUAGGAAAAAAACGAAAGAUUCAAAUCAAAAACCAGGAAAUCACCUUGGUUUUCUUUGCUCUUUAUUUCUUAGUAUUCAUGAAAAAGAAGGGGCAAAGAAAUCGAAAAAAUGGCUUUUUAUAGCCGAGUAUUACAAUCGUUCUUUUUCUUUUUUCAUUUCUCUGUUGUUUCUUCUUUUUUUGCCCUGGUUGUUGCGUGUUUGGUUUUAGUUUUGCAGGUGCUACAGGUGCAAGUGGGUGAGGGGACGUGCGGCGCAGUGGCAGUGCUGGCAUGGUAGAGGUUAGGGCGGCGGCAAAGGCUAGGGUUAGGGGCUAGGGUUUUUCUUUUGUUUUUUCUGAAAAUGGGUAUUGGGUUUUGAUAAUUGGGCUAGGUUUGGGUUGUAUUUGGGUUUGGUUUAAUUUAGGCUUAUUGGGCUACUUGGGCUGUUAUUUGGUGAGGCCCGGGCAAAAAUUUGGGCUCUACAGCUGCCCCUCUUUGCUUCAUUGUCGUGUAAUGGGAAUGAAGCAAAGAUUAAGACCAAAUUUUCCCGGUCUCGCCAAACCUUGACUUUUUUGACGCUUCUCUUCAAGUAGCUUCACUCUAGUCCACUGUGUCUUGUUGCGUCGAUCCACUCCACUGCAACUUCAAAAAAACAAGACUUGAAGCUUCAAUCCACUCUGUUGUAACUUCAGGGGGACGAGAUUUGUGGUUUUUGUCUACUUCACAUCUUUGAUCUGCUCCACUACUGCUUAGGGGGACAGAAUCUGCAAUCUUCAAUCUGCUCCACCUUAGGAGAUAAGAUCUGAAAUUUUCAAUCUAUUCCACUGUAAUCUCAGGGAAAUAAGACCUGAUGCGAUCUACUCUGCUGUAACUUCAGAGAGAUAAGAUCCUUCAUUUUAAUCCACUCCACUGUAAUCUCAGGGAGAUAGGAUUACUAACUUCAAUCUGCUCCGCUGUAAUCUCAGGGAGAUAAGAUCUGACACGAUCUACUCUACUGUAACUUCAGAGAGAUAAGAUCCUUUAUUUUAAUCCGCUCCACUGUAAUCUCAAGGAGAUAGGAUUACUAGCUUCAAUCUGCUCCGCUGUAAUCUCAGGGAGAUAAGAUCUGAAAUUCUUCGGUCUGUUCCACUGCAAUCUCAGGGAAAUAAGACCUGAUGUGAUCUACUCUACUGUAACUUCAGAGAGAUAAGAUCAUUUAUUUUAAUCCGCUCCACUGUAAUCUCAGGGAGAUAAGAUUACUAGCUUAAAUCUGCUCCGCUGUAAUCUCAGGGAGAUAAGAUCUGAAAUUCUUCGGUCUGUUCCACUGUAAUCUCAGGGAAAUAAGACCUGAUGCGAUCUACUCUGCUGUAACUUCAGAGAGAUAAGAUCAUUGGUUUUAAUCCGCUCCACUGUAAUCUCAGGGAGAUAGGAUUACCAGCUUCAAUCUAAUGCGAUCUACUCUGCUGUAACUUCAGAGAGAUAAGAUCUUUUAUUUCAAUCCGCUCCACUGUAACUUCAGGGAGAUAGGAUAGUGUCUUCAAUCUACUCCGCUGUAAUCUGAGGGAGAUAAGAUCUGAAAUUCUUCAACCAGCUCCACUAUAACUGAGAGAGGUAAGGUUUGUCUUCGACCUGCUUCGCUGUCAAUGCAAGAAUGCAAGAUCUCUUGUCUUCAACCAGCUCCAUCACAACCGAGAGAGGCAAGGUUUGUAUCUUCGACCUGUUUCGCUGUCAAUGUAGGAAGGCAAGAUCUGUUGUCUUCAACCAGCUCCAUCACAACCGAUGAAGGCAAUGCUUGUUUUCGAUCUGCUUCGCUGUUAAUGCAAGAAGGCAAGAUCUUUUGUCUUCAACCAGCUCCAUCACAACCGAGAGAGGCAAGGCUUGUUUUCGAUCUGCUUCGCUGUUAAUGCAAGAAAGCAAGAUCUUUUGUCUUCAAUCAACUCCAUCACAAUCGAAAGAGGCAACGUUUGUGUCUUCGAUCUGCUUCGCUGUCAAUGCAGGAAGGCAAGAUCUUUUGUCUUUAACCAGCUCCACUACAACCGAGAGAGGCAAGGUUUGUGUCUUCGACCUGCUUCGCUGUCAAUGCAGGAAGGCAAGAUCUGCUUCUUUAACCAGCUCCACUGUAACCAAUGAAGGCAAGGCUUAUUUUCGAUCUGCUUCGUUGUUAACGCAGGAAGGCAAGAUCUACCUCUUUAACCAGCUCCACUGCAACCAAUGAAGGCAAGGCUUUGUUUUCGAUCUGCUUCACUGUUAACGCAGGAAGGCAAGAUCUGCUUCUUUAACCAGCUCCACUGCAACCAAUGAAGGCAAGGCUUUGUUUUCGAUCUGCUUCGCUGUUAACGCAGGAAGGCAAGAUCUAAUUCUUUAACCUGUAUGUUCUAUUCUAUGAACCUAAUUGUGCCUAGUGAUUAGGAUGACAUGAUCAGAAUGAAUCAAAUGCUCCUAACUGGAUGUGUAUGCAAAAUGUCAUGAAGAUGAUUCCUUAAUGCUUAGGUUAUCAUCACGCAAAAGCUUAUUAAGGUUUUAUCACUGACUUGCUACAACGCCUUCUUGCUCGACAGGCGUAUCCAAAGAAACACUUAAUUUGAUUACCCCCAGUGUGAUCUUCAAACUUCAAUCCACUGGGAUGCAAAAUUUGUACCAUCAAUCUCCCACUGUAACCCAAGGGUAGAAAGGUAUGGCUUUUCUCAAUCUUCUCCUAUCGCAAUUCAAUGAUAUUGAAUGUGAAACUCUUUGGUCCUUUACCUCAUCCCCAAGGUGUCAUACCAAAUGCUCAUGCACAAUUGCAAAAAUUUUCUUCUCCCAGAAGACAUUUUCUUUUUGCCUGGUGAACAUCGCUUGUCGGUUCAUUAAAGCUUUGCUACCAACACGGCAUCUUGUUAUUUUGUUCAAUCAAUGUUUGGACAACAAAAUCUGAAAAGAUAGCUUUUAACUUAGACUCUUCCUUCUUAGAUAUUUCACUCUUUAAACUUGGUGUUUUCUAAACAAUAAUCCUGUUUCAGGUUCCUAUAUUAUUUAGAAACUUUUCAGAGAAAUAUGCAAAACUUCCUUUGUGAAAGUUUUAUUAGUUCAUUAAUCAUUAUUCCAAUGCAACAGAUUUGCAAAAAAAGAAUAUAACGAUGGAUGAAAUAGAAUUGAUUUGAGAGCAAGCUCGAAAUGAAUGAAUUAUCAAGGGUAGCAAGAAUAAAAGAGGAAUUGAUUGGAACACGUAUCUUGAAAAAGAAUGAAGUAUUCCAAGAACAACAACAAAUUCAAUAUAUAAAUAGUAUGAAGGUUAGGUGCCCCAGAUAUCGCAGCUUGAACUUCUCUGUACAAACUUUCUGAAGACUUUCCUGAGUUUGAUAUAUGUUUAGGAGAUCUACAGGACUCUGUUGAUGCCCCAAGAUGUCGCCUUACCCUUUCAGGUAUAACAAGAUCACCACAUGCCCCAAUUUGAUCACUUCAUGGCCCAUUCUGAUCAAUAUUUGAGCCGCCCUUCGGGUUUUCAACUCAAAUCCCCUUUGGCCUAAGGUGCCCUUUGCGGGUUUUCCCCUUAGCCUCUCCAUUUUUACUUUUUCAUUUUUUUCAUUUUUCAUUUUUCAUUUUUUCAUUUUUUUUGACUCAAAGUGCCCUUUGCAGGUUUUCACCUUGGUCCUUCUUCCUUCUGGAUCCGAGUUUAUAAGAUUGGCAAUCUCACUCAGGAUCAGUGCUCCUCUAAAAAUGGUCUUCUUUACAACAUAGGGACUUUCCUAGUUCGGCAUUCAUUUCCCUUUAGAAUCCUUUCGUUAAGGAAGAAUCUUUUCAACAUCCAGCCCUCUUGUGGAAUUCUCUGAGACGAGCAUGUUUAUUAUGGGCUUAUAUUAUUUAUUUAUGGUACAUUCGACCUUGAUGAAUAGCUUUUAAUUUCUUUUCCUAGGGCCAACUGAUCACAUCGCGAUUAGAUCCUUCUAACAAGCAAUGAGGGGAUUUUAAUGGGUAAAACUACCUUAAUCCUGUAAACCAAAAAGAGAGGUGUUGCCCCAGUAUAGAUGUUCGACAAAAAAUGAGGGCAAAUGGUAUUUUCUCAUGCCAAUCCUUGUUCACCUCUAGGUAAUUUGGUGACAAAAUGUGGUGUCUGCUUCUGAAUUGAUUUCAGACCUCAAUUAUCGUGUAUUUUCCAAUACUAUCCUCUCUGAAAUUCUGUAUUGGUAUAGGAUGACCUUGAUCUAUGAAGUAGCCUCUCAAAAAAUGAAGCAAUUCCCAUUAGAAGUCUUCGAUAAUGGUGAUGUUCAUGCCCCUUUCGCUCAAAAUUUUGAGUCGCCCUUUUUCGGGUUUUCAACUCAGAUCCGCCUUUGGUCAAAGCGCCCUUUGCGGGUUUUCGCCUUGACCUCUCCUUUUUCUUUUUCUUUUUCUUUUUUCUUCUUUCUUUUUCUCCUAUUUUUGACUUUGAUUUUUUUUUAUUUUUGAUUUUUUGAUUUUGAUUUUUUAUUUUUGAUUUUUUGAUUUUUUUGAUUUUGAUUUUUGAUUUUAUUUUUUUUAAUUUUUUUGAUUCUGAACUCAUGAGAUCGGGCAAGUCCUGGUCAUGCUUUUCGACUAGAAUCACUGUUAUUCUAAAGUCUUCCACAUAAGAUCUUUCACCUUCAUCGUGUAUGUGAAAAACCUUCUUUGGUACCAGAUUUCUUUCAUAGAACCCUUUUGGGACGCAACUACGACAGAAAACUUUGGAUCUUCCUCUUUAAUCCGGACAAAAUCCAACAUCUUGAAGGGAUGGAAACUCGACUUCAAAUGGGCAAAACUAUGCUGACUCAACGAGAGAGGCAUUGCCCCGGCAAAGAAUUGCAUCGUUCGUACUGCGAAAUUCUGACAUCGUGCUGUUGUGCAAGUUUUAUUAUAAGAAUCGAGGCAUAACCUGGUAUGAUCAUACAAAGACAUCUUUGAACUCUAGAGGUAACUCAACAAUGUCUUGCUUCGUUUCUGUGGUCAGGUCAAUUCUAGUCUUCAUCAAGCUCACAAUUUCUAAUGACUCCUUAAGAGGUAGGAUCUGUUUAUCCUCUUGUUCUAUCAUCCUCAACAAGUCCGGGGAUAGGCUACAAUCUAUGUCAUCUUCAAAGUCGUGAGAUCAUUCUAAACACGUCUCGCUCAAAAAGAGAUUCUAAGUCUGUAGCAGUGUCAUUCAUGUCGUUGAUAUCCAGGGCCCUACUGUAGGUACAAAAGAAUAUACAAAGAAUGUAUGAAUUUAAGAAUAAUUAUCUGCACAGUAUGAUUAUGAAUGAAAAAGAAAAAAAAUGAUUUGGAUGAAAGAAUAAAAGAAUAAUUAUUCAAGAAGUGAAAGAAUAUUGGUUCAAAAGAUCGCAAAGAUGCAUUCCAUAAUGACGUUCAGACAUAAACCUAUUUCACAAAAGACUUCUUGUUGUUCUAGGCUGAAAGCAACAAGUGUGUUUUGAAUAUUACUCUGAGUAAGCUCUAAAUACUACAGGGGUUUCUUUAGAACACUCCCAAGUUUAUAAGGGCGAACAUCUAACAAGAUCUCUUCUCCUGUUGCUUCUUCGUAUUCGGCACUGAUAUGAACGUUUCCCAACAUCUCUUCAUUCAUCGCAUUCCUUUAUUAUCCGUAUGAGUGAGUAGUGGGUUUUCUGUACUGAGUGAAUCCUCAAAUUUGACGAUGCCCAUAUUGAUAAACCUUUCGACCAGCUUUUUAAAGGCAGUGUAGUUUUCUAUAGAAUGCCCCGUAAUUCCCGCAUGAUAGUCACAUUGCGCAUUUAUGUCAUACCAUUUGGGAUACGGAGGUUGUAUAGGCUUCAAGUAGAAAGAGGAGACAACAUGUGCGUCAAAUAAACUCUGAUACAGCUCCUGGUACGACAUUGGGAUUGGUGUAAAUUUCGACUUCUUAAUGCUUUACUUAGUGCCAGAUUCAUGUCUUGGGGAUAUCUGAUGGCCAGUAACAACUGACCUUUGCUGACCUGCGGUAAUCGGCUUUGAAUAACCUUCAUUAUGCCUACCCGCAUUGCUCACCUCAUUUUUCCUCUUCCUCGAGACCUUUGAAGUAUUGUUUUGGGAGUUCCAUUCUUGCCCUUUCAGUUUGUCAUGAUCUUCGAAUUGUUUUGAAAACUCUAUCAUUGCCUGUUUUGUUCCCGCUAGAUCAUCAAAGACAGCAGAAUUAGUUAGAUUUCCCCUCAUAUUGGAACCUGAACCUAUCGCGAAAUUUAUCGGUGUCGAGGUAUUGGUCUGGAUGUUGACAGUUACCCUUUGUGGAUAUGUGUUUGGUUGUGCUUGGAUGUCGGUUGGAGUAAAAUCUGAAAGAUAUGCAGGGUUGUGCUUGGAUGUCGGUUGGAGUAAAAUUUGAAAGAUAUGCAGGACCUUCAUUAUCAUUCCCAAAGUGGACCACUGGGUUUUUUCCUUUCUCCAACCUCAUAUCCAACAACUGGGUUAACUGGCUCAUCAGAUUUCUCUGGACUUCUAGCAUCUGAUCAUUCACAUUUUGUUGAAAUUUGGCUAAUUGCUCUAGCAUCUGUAUCUGCAUUUGCUCUAAUCUCUCCAACCUUUGGUCCAUUCCUUAGUUUCUAUUCGGGUACCGCAAAAAUGUUGGUUUUCUAGACUUUUCUGAAAUAAUUUUACCUAAUUAGGGUCACUUCGUGAAAAUCUAAUGCAUAUGAUGCAAUGUAAUGCAAAUGCAUGAAAUGAAUGCCUAAAGAGACGUUGAUUCUGAUUCAAUUACAUUUAGGAAACUUUUCUAGAAAGCAAAUUCCCUUACAUAAAACGGAUACAUGUACGACCUCACCCUCAAUUUCUAAGAAACAACAUCGGUCUUUUUCUUCAUCCGCAUGUUUGAGGUAAUCUCGCCAAUAGAUGCCAUUGCUAGCUCAUUUUCUUGAUCUUGGUCGCGAUCCAUCAUCUGCCCAUCUUCAUAAGGCUCAUCAACUUGUCGAAGGCUUUUGGACAAUCGUCUCGAACCCUUAGGCCAUGAAGUAAAGAUCACGAACUCUUUCAUCGCCCUUCUUGUGUUUCUCAGAAUAUAUUUGGGAAGUCGUAUUGUUUUCCACUUUAUCAAGGAAUCCGUAUUCCAUGACAAGCUUUCUAAUUUAAUAAUCGGACUUGAAUCAAUAUCUCUUUCCUAAGGUGCGGAUGCGAUGCAAUCAUAAUCAAAGCAAAAUAAGAGGGGUUAGUACAAAAAUAAACAAGGAAAACAGAAAGUACCUAAUCGGGUGACUACUAGGGGUUUGGAGUGGCUCUAUCUAGACUAAGUUCCUAAGUCCACUAUAUGAGGUUUGGUUCUAAAGUCAAGGUACCCGAACCAGCAGAUUCCUCGAUCUUCACCCAUUAUAAGCUCACACGGACCGAGUUCGGUUCAGGGGAAUACAUUUCCCUAUGGCCAUGCGGAGAUGAAAAUCUCACGAAGACAUAGGUACGAAUGUAUCCCGGAAGCGAUUCACUAUCCCAUGCGGAGGUGAAAACCUCACGAAGGCGUAGCUUCUCACUCCCACUUAAAAGGUGUGACCAACGGUCAUGCAAUGCAAUGUGCAACAAGAUACCAAAAUUUAAACCAACACAACAAUUAUAAACCACAACAAUGACAAUUAUAACGAAUGAAAUGCAAUGAAAGGAUUAUAUCUUUAAAUCAAGUUUUCAAAUUUCGACAAAAAGACAAAAAGUAAUCAACUCGUGGCUUGACUCACUUAUUUUUUUUUAAAAAAAAACUCCCCAGUGGAGUCGCCAAGCUGUUGACACCAUUUUUUUGGAUGAAAAAUGGGGUUGACUUGGAUUUUGAAAAACGAAAAUGGGAGUCGCCACCAAUCUUUUUUGAUGAGGUGUGAUCGGGUCACCUUUAAAAGCGGUUGUUUUUAAUAAACAAUUUAAUUUUAUUAAAACGAGUUUGGUCUACGAAAUUCAGAAAACGGAUUCGGGAGUCGGUUACGCACGAGGAAGGAUUAGCACCCUCGAUACGCCCAAAAUUGGUACCUAGUUGAUUACUUAAUGUCUUAAUGUCGAAAAUUGAGAACUUUGAAGAAUUUUAAAAAAUACGAUCCUUGUAUUAAAAUAAAAAAAAUAGAAAAGAAGCAUAUUUUACGUUAUUGGAGAAAGAGGAUCAUAUCCAGUAAAUUAGGACACAAUGUCUCGAAUUCCCGAUGCGCGAAUGAAAAAAUGCUUAUUUAAAAGAUAUUUUAUUAUCUCGGGUUUAGAAAAUAAAUCAGGCCCAGUAAGUUAGGGCCCGAUCUUUUCUUAAUUCCCGAGAUCGUUUAAAAACUUGAGUCUGAAAAGACUCACGUGUUUAGAUUUAUUGUGAAAAUCAAAACCCAAUAAGUUAGGGCNNNNNNNNNNNNNNNNNNNNNNNNNNNNNNNNNNNNNNNNNNNNNNNNNNNNNNNNNNNNNNNNNNNNNNNNNNNNNNNNNNNNNNNNNNNNNNNNNNNNNNNNNNNNNNNNNNNNNNNNNNNNNNNNNNNNNNNNNNNNNNNNNNNNNNNNNNNNNNNNNNNNNNNNNNNNNNNNNNNNNNNNNNNNNNNNNNNNNNNNNNNNNNNNNNNNNNNNNNNNNNNNNNNNNNNNNNNNNNNNNNNNNNNNNNNNNNNNNNNNNNNNNNNNNNNNNNNNNNNNNNNNNNNNNNUAAAAAUGAAAAAGAUAUAUAUAUAUAUAAAAAAUAAUGGAAAUAUGAAAAAUAUAUGUAAGUAUAUAUUUAAAAUUAUUAUAUAGAAUACAUGCAUAUACAUACAUAUAUACGUAUGCCAAUUAAAAUAUGUAUAUAUACAUAGAUAUAUAUAAAAAUUAUGAAAUAUGUGUAAGUAUAUAUACAUAUAGGUUUAUAAAAAUAGGAAAUAUGUGCGUGUAUUAUAAAUAUAUACAUGUAUAAAUAUUUUAUAAAAAUAGGUAUGUUUAUAUGUAUAUAUAUAUUACAAAAAAAAGUAUGUGUAUAAGUGUAUGUACAAAAAUGUAUAUAAAAAUACACACAUAUAUAUAUAUAACGAUUAUAAUAAUAGUAAUAAUAAUAAUAAUAAUAUGAAAUUUAUUAGGAAAAUAAACAAAAUAGCAAAAGGAUUAGAUUCAACAUUAAAACGAAAAUCAGGGUUUAAAUCUGAAAAUACAUGAAAUAGUGUUAUAAGGGACUGAAGUAAAAUGCGCCCAAAGUGCAAGGGACCUGCAGGGAAAUAAUCCCCAGUCCUGAAACGCAGCGUUUUAACACACAUGGUCCAAGGACCAAAUCGAAACAUAAACAAAAUUCGCGGGCUGAGAUAAAAAAAUCGGGUUGGCUAUGCUGCAACAGCGGAGGGACUCCUCGCGCAAAUAACCCUUCAAGGUCAAAACACGCGGAUCCUGGCCAAACGGGUCGGGUCGAACCGGCCCCCUCCAAAACGACGCCGUUUUGGCGUCUGGGGGGGCCAAAAUGAAACGGCGCCGUUUUAUUUCAUCCACUUAAACUCAAUUUUUAAGUUUUUUUUUUUUAUAUCCUUCCCCAUUACAGAAAAAGAAAAGCUGAAACCUUUCAAAACCUCCCCAACGAUCGGCCUCCCACCACCAUUCGCACAUCCGCCGCACCGCCACCAGAUCGACGGCCAACGAAGCGCGAUAACGGGUUUUUAAAGCCCCCUGGUGAGUUUCUCUUUUUCUCUUUUUAUUUUCGUUUUAAGAAAUAAAAAUAAAAAUAAGCAAAACGAUAAGAAAUAGGAAAAAAACGAAAGAUUCAAAUCAAAAACCAGGAAAUCACCUUGGUUUUCUUUGCUCUUUAUUUCUUAGUAUUCAUGAAAAAGAAGGGGCAAAGAAAUCGAAAAAAUGGCUUUUUAUAGCCGAGUAUUACAAUCGUUCUUUUUCUUUUUUCAUUUUCUCUGUUGUUUCUUCUUUUUUUGCCCUGGUUGUUGCGUGUUUGGUUUUAGUUUUGCAGGUGCUGCAGGUGCAAGUGGGUGAGGGGACAUGCGGCGCAGUGGCAGUGCUGGCAUGGUAGAGGUUAGGGCGGCGGCAAAGGCUAGGGUUAGGGGCUAGGGUUUUUCUUUUCUUUUUUCUGAAAAUGGGUAUUGGGUUUUGAUAAUUGGGCUAGGUUUGGGUUGUAUUUGGGUUUGGUUUAAUUUGGGCUUAUUGGGCUACUUGGGCUGUUAUUUGGUGAGGCCCGGGCAAAAAUUUGGGCUCUACAUCUAUUAUACUUUUUUUUUAUGAUUUUCUAUCAUUUCUAUUGUUUUUUAUUAACAUUUUAAUGAUUUUAAGUACAAAAUGUCUUCUUGGAACGAGAAUGGGCAGAAAGUCGACUUAUGAGAAUUUCAAGCCUUUAAAGUAAAAAGAAGAGUAAAAACUUUUGUUUUUAUUAGAGGCGAAAUUAGAAAUAUUUUUUAGAAUGCCGAAAUUAAAUUGUAUGUUUUUAUAAUAGUAAAAAUACAAUUUCACCAUUUUAAUAUAUAUAUCUUUAUAAUUUUUAAAUGAUUAAAUCAAUUUUUUUAUCAAUUUUAGGGGGCAAAGUACAAUUUUACCUUAACUAAUUUAAAUUUUAUAAACUUUAAAGGGGCCUAAAUAGAUAUUUUUUUAUUUUAAGGGAGUUCGGACCCCUGCUAGCCCCUGGCUACACCCC
Molecule: long non-coding RNA, 10658 nt
Filed under: Gossypium raimondii (Peruvian cotton)
Lineage: Eukaryota; Viridiplantae; Streptophyta; Magnoliopsida; Malvales; Malvaceae
Description: long non-coding RNA (GRAI_LNC010232)
Source: RNAcentral